This 32-nucleotide non-coding RNA is filed under the name Mus musculus (house mouse). The record is from RNAcentral. Lineage: Eukaryota; Metazoa; Chordata; Mammalia; Rodentia; Muridae.
GGCACCAUCUGUAACACAGAAGAUAUCAAACU